Molecule: ribosomal RNA, 441 nt
Filed under: uncultured bacterium
Lineage: Bacteria
Description: partial 16S ribosomal RNA
Rfam family: Bacterial small subunit ribosomal RNA
Source: RNAcentral
CCUACGGGUGGCAGCAGUGGGGAAUAUUGCACAAUGGGGGAAACCCUGAUGCAGCAACGCCGCGUGAGUGAGGAAGUAUUUCGGUAUGUAAAGCUCUAUCAGCAGGGAAUAGAAAAGAAGGUACCUGACUAAGAAGCCCCGGCUAACUACGUGCCAGCAGCCGCGGUAAUACGUAGGGGGCAAGCGUUAUCCGGAUUUACUGGGUGUAAAGGGGGCGCAGACGGCAGCGCAAGCCAGGAGUGAAAGCCCGGGGCCCAACCCCGGGACUGCUCUUGGAACUGCGCGGCUGGAGUGCAGGAGGGGCAGGCGGAAUUCCUGGUGUAGCGGUGAAAUGCGUAGAUAUCAGGAGGAACACCGGUGGCGAAGGCGGCCUGCUGGACUGCGACUGACGUUGAGGCCCGAAAGCGUGGGGAGCAAACAGGAUUAGAUACCCUUGUAGUC